Molecule: long non-coding RNA, 494 nt
Filed under: Elaeis guineensis (African oil palm)
Lineage: Eukaryota; Viridiplantae; Streptophyta; Magnoliopsida; Arecales; Arecaceae
Description: long non-coding RNA (EGUI_LNC037092)
Source: RNAcentral
CUCACUCGAUCCUUGGAUCUCUUUCCUCAGUAACUCAUAUCCUCCCUCUAGUGCUCCUCUGAGCCUUCCAGCCUCUGCAGUGAGGUCUGUGACCUCAAUAGUAGACUCCUGUGGCUUGGGAUGGGCCAAAGCAAGGACUUGCCCCUGCAAGUCUAGAACUCUGCCAGUCAAUCUCCAGACUGUAUCUUCAAGUUGCUAGAUUCGGAUGGACUGAUCUGAAAUCAUCUGAAAUACAGUGGAGAUGUGGGGAGUAAUGGUCUGAUCAGAAGAGGUGGCUCCUGGUGCAAAAGAAGUACUACUCCACUAACUAGAUAGCAAGGUAGCCACACGCUGUGAUAUAUGCUCGAUCUGAUCGUCAGCCAGUCUGAAAUCUGAUGGAUGUGCUCUGGUCUCUGGCUGAUACACUGGUGUGGGCAUCCUAGUAAACUCUGAAGGGCCAGCCUCUAUAUCAAGAAUGAACUGGGUAUUUGGUGAUGCUGCCCUGAAGUCAUGUA